CGCGGAGCCGCCGCCCUCGGCGGACUGGCCGGUAGGGAGCGCUGCGCGCUCGGCGCCGCCCCCCUCACAGCCGCGGCCUCUCUGCGCCGCGCCGCCGCCUCGCUGAGCGGGCCGGGCGCCAUGGCGGUGCCGGUGCUGCCGGGCUCGGGGGUGGCGUUCCGGCGGGUGUUGGCGCACUUCCCGCAGGAGCUCAGCCUGGCCUUCGCCUACGGCUCCGGCGUCUUCCGGCAGACGGGGGCCUCGGCCGGGCACAGCGAGAACAAUAUGUUGGACUUCGUGUUUGCUGUUGAUGAUUCUGUUACGUGGCAUAUGAUGAACUUGUUAAAGAACAGGAGUCAUUAUUCCUUCCUAAAAGUUUUUGGGCCAAAGCAGAUAAGUAAUAUACAGAGCUAUGGAGCAGGGAUUUACUACAAUACUUUAGUGCCAUGUAAUGGUAGGAUGAUUAAAUAUGGUGUAAUUAGCACUGAUGCCCUGAUUGAUGACUUAUUUCACUGGAAAACCCUCUAUGUUGCUGGACGCCUACAAAAACCGGUGAAAAUACUGACACAGAAUGAGAAUGGCAAGCUGCAAGCUGCUCUUGUUAGCAAUCUGAAGAGUGCAGUCACAGCAGCCUUUCUCAUGUUACCAGAAAGUUUCUCUGAAGAAGACCUCUAUAUGCAGAUUGCAGGACUCUCCUAUUCUGGUGAUUUCAGAAUGAUAAUAGGAGAAGACAAAUCAAAGGUGCAGAACAUAGUGAAACCUAGUGUUCCCCAUUUUCAGAAGCUGUACGAUAACAUAUUACAGGACUGCCCUCAAGUGGUGUAUAAGCACCAUCUGGGAAGGUUAGAGAUUGAUAAAAGUCCAGAAGGUCAGUUCGCACAACUAAUGGCUUUGCCAAGGACUCUACAACAAAAGAUAACUUCUCUGGUAGACCCUCCUGGAAAAAACAGAGAUGUGGAAGAAAUUUUAAUGCAAGUUGCUCAUGACCCUGAUUGCGGAUUCGUGGUUCAUCAAGGCAUUUCGGGAAUUGUGAGAUCUUCCAGUCUAGUGCAGAGUGCUAAAACCAUAUUAACAGCUGGGGCAAAGAAAUCUGCAACUUACAGUAUGAAGAAAUUAUAUAAAAUGACAAAGGGAUGGUUAAAGAAGACAUCCUGAGUCUUGACAUACUGUAUAUGAACGUUUCCCUGCUGCUGUGCGGAUGAUAUGACAGAAUAGGGGAAUGCUGAGUGGAAACAGUAGCUCUGAUAAAUAAACAGACCAGGGAAGAUAUUAAACUAGUAUUACAAAUGAUGUGUGGACUUCUGUCACUGGCUUGUUCCCUUACUAGGAGCACGCUCCGGAAAGGGACUGAGCAGCUGCUGCUCCCAUUAUUUGAAAACUACUGGAAAACUUGAAGAAAACAGCAAUUUGUGUUCAAUAAAAGACAGAUGAGUUGCAUCCUUGAAUAUUGUCUGAAAUAGCUAUUGAUUGGGAUGGAAGGAAGGCACAUGGGAGAAAGAAAGCUUACAAGGUGUAGCAGGAUCCAGUGAGGAAUGGAGACUCCAUUGGAUGUUUUGUCGAGAGCAGCAUCUCUAGUACAUGCUGAUGACGAGAAACGAACCCAGACUUUAUUUAUGGUAUGCCAUUCAAAUUCUGACCUGAAGGAGGAAGGACCUGAACAUAGGUUUUCCAGUACAAGAUAAGUGUCCUAAUUAAUGGCUAAUGUCCUAAUUAAAUAAAAGAAGGAUACUGUCAACUCCUUCUCUCUGUUUUACUAACUCACCCCUUUUGUUCUGUUGUAAAAAUUCAAUGCUUUAUUUCAUGCUAAAGAGAACAAAUUUCUCCCCCAAUAAACACCAAAUUGUUUUGCUUUUGUCCAAGCUUUUAAAUUUUCCCCUCCUUUGCUAUUGAAUCAAAAAUCAGCUACUUGUUUAAGCGUAAUCUUGGCUACAAAUCUGCUAUGGAACAAUGAACAAUGUCACUACAGAAACUUCUGACAUUCAUAAGCCAAAAAGGAGAAUUGCUUCUGAUUUUGCAAAUUGUGAAUGUGAUUUAUUACACUUCUCUGCUGUUUUUUGUUGUUUUUUUUUCCACUUCCGUUUGGAUUUUAAACUUAGUGACGCAUUUAUGGAAAGGCCUUAAAAAACCCUAAACUGUAUUACACAGUUAAUUUUUGUCUGUCUGCUACAACAAUAUUGUAUUAGGUGAUAAUGCUUCGAUAACACUGGAGUUAAAUUUGGUUUAAUGUUAGAAUUUAAUUUGGUUUAGAUAUGUUUAUUAUUUUGUCAGUGAUAGAAAUUGUGAAGAGUAGUUGGACAGAAGUAGUCUUUUCUGUGUUCUUGUGCUCUUGUUUUAAUUGGUUACAUUUUAUCAGGCACACUAAGUUUUAUUUUCCUGAAACUGUGGCAAUAGCAAGUAACUCUUUUUGUUUUCUGGGUCAUGCCUAUGUUGCCUGUUUGGUUCAUAUGAGAACAGCUGUGUAUAACAGAUGUAACUUUACUACUGUAAAUCUCUGGCCUUUAAUUGCUUUCUUCAGAGACAGAAUAUUUGGCUCGUAAUAGCAGAAGAACUACAGUUUGUCUAUGGCUCUGUCUCUUCUUCCAGUAUUUGUAUACUGGUACAUUCCACCAGGACCCCCAGCCCUUCUCUGCAGAGCUGCUUCCCAGCAGGUCAGCCCCCAGCCUGUACUGGUGCCUGGGGUUAUUCCUCCCUAGGGGCAGGACUCUGCCCUUCCCCUUGUUGAACUCCAUGAGGUUCCUCUCUGCCCAUCUCUCCAGCCUGUCCAGGUCCCUCAGAAUGGCAGGCAGCCCUCUGGGGUAUCAGCCAGUCCUCCCAGUUCUGUGCCAUCAGCAAACUUGCUGAGGGUUCACUCUGUCCCAUCAUCCAGGUCACUGAUGAGUAAGUUGAACACGAUUGGAGCCAGUAUUGACCCCUGGGGGACACCGCUAGCUCCAGGCCUCCAACUAGACUUUGCACCACUGAUCUCUGAGCUCUGCCUCAGAAGACCAAAGAAAAGAAUGAGCUUUAAGCAAAUGUCAAUUACAAACUCUCAGCAGGAAAUUGUUAGCUUCCAAAAUUAGAAACAUUUGUAUCAUAAUGUAUUUUCGGGGAGACUGUGAUUUGCUUCUCUGUUGGAAUAGAUCUGCCUUACCAGACCAGCACUGUGAUUCAUCUUGUGACUUGCAGAAGUCUACUCAGUAUUUCAAAGAAAGUUUUUUUUUCUGAACCAUGGACAGUUACUUGUUGGCACGUACCUGAAGCAUCAGUUUAGCCUGUCUAAAAUAACUGUGAUGGAAUGUAAUGUGGAUGUUAAAUCUUCAUUGGGAUUUCUGCAAGUUUUUUGUGUCUUUGUUUCAUAAAUUGAUCCUGGAUUAUGUGAAAGAACAUGUAGUAGACUUGCAUGUGUGAAUUAUUACUGUGCUUGUUAUGGUACUCAAUAAUGUGGGUUCCCCUUGGCUCCAUGACGAAACCUUGCAACACUGGCUUAUGUAUGCAUAUUUUGUGACUCCUCUAUGUGAAAAUUUCAGUAAAUAAUAAAACAAUUCCCAUUAAUAUAA
Molecule: RNA transcript, 3515 nt
Organism: Dromaius novaehollandiae (emu)
Lineage: Eukaryota; Metazoa; Chordata; Aves; Casuariiformes; Dromaiidae
Gene: TAMM41
Gene name: TAM41 mitochondrial translocator assembly and maintenance homolog
Exons: 13
Source: RefSeq, a predicted model, not a curated record